This 434-nucleotide ribosomal RNA is filed under the name uncultured Pseudobutyrivibrio sp. Its description in RNAcentral is "partial 16S ribosomal RNA". It matches the Rfam family "Bacterial small subunit ribosomal RNA", at positions 341 to 792 of the family's 1533-position model. Lineage: Bacteria; Bacillati; Bacillota; Clostridia; Lachnospirales; Lachnospiraceae. The record is from RNAcentral.
ACGGGAGGCAGCAGUGGGGAAUAUUGCACAAUGGGCGAAAGCCUGAUGCAGCGACGCCGCGUGAGCGAGGAAGUAUUUCGGUAUGUAAAGCUCUAUCAGCAGGGAAGAUAAUGACGGUACCUGACUAAGAAGCACCGGCUAAAUACGUGCCAGCAGCCGCGGUAAUACGUAUGGUGCAAGCGUUAUCCGGAUUUACUGGGUGUAAAGGGAGCGUAGGCGGUUUUACAAGUCUGAUGUGAAAGCCCGGGGCUCAACUCCGGUAUUGCAUUGGAAACUGUAGAACUAGAGUGUCGGAGGGGUAAGUGGAAUUCCUAGUGUAGCGGUGAAACGCGUAGAUAUUAGGAGGAACACCAGUGGCGAAGGCGGCUUACUGGACGAUUACUGACGCUGAGGCUCGAAAGCGUGGGGAGCAAACAGGAUUAGAUACCCUGGUA